This 329-nucleotide ribosomal RNA is filed under the name uncultured eukaryote. RNAcentral describes it as "partial 18S ribosomal RNA". It matches the Rfam family "Eukaryotic small subunit ribosomal RNA", at positions 1470 to 1796 of the family's 1831-position model. The record is from RNAcentral.
CCCUUAGAUGUUCUGGGCUGCACGCGCGCUACACUGAAGCGUUCAACGAGUAUUUCACCUUGCCCGGGAGGGUUGGGUAAUCUUUUUAAAACGCUUCGUGAUGGGGAUAGAUUAUUGCAAUUAUUAAUCUUCAACGAGGAAUGCCUAGUAAGCGCAAGUCAUCAGCUUGCGUUGAUUACGUCCCUGCCCUUUGUACACACCGCCCGUCGCUCCUACCGAUUGAAUGGUCCGGUGAAGCGUUCGGACCGUGGCCUUUGGACGGUUCGCCGUCUGUUGGCUGCGGGAAGUUCGUUAAACCUUAUCAUUUAGAGGAAGGAGAANUCGUANCA